RNAcentral lists this ribosomal RNA (472 nucleotides) under uncultured bacterium. RNAcentral describes it as "SSU rRNA". It matches the Rfam family "Bacterial small subunit ribosomal RNA", at positions 26 to 518 of the family's 1533-position model. The record is from RNAcentral.
AGGACGAACGCUGGCGGCGUGCUUAACACAUGCAAGUCGAGCGGAAAGGCCCUUCGGGGUACUCGAGCGGCGAACGGGUGAGUAACACGUGAGCAACCUGCCCUUAGCUCUGGGAUAGCUCCGGGAAACCGGAAUUAAUACCGGAUAUGACCUAGGCCGACAUCGGCCGUGGUGGAAAGUUUUUCGGCUAGGGAUGGACUCGCGGCCUAUCAGCUAGUUGGUGGGGUAAUGGCCUACCAAGGCGACGACGGGUAGCCGGCCUGAGAGGGCGACCGGCCACACUGGGACUGAGACACGGCCCAGACUCCUACGGGAGGCAGCAGUGGGGAUAUUGCGCAAUGGGCGAAAGCCUGACGCAGCGACGCCGCGUGGGGAUGAAGGCCUUCGGGUUGUAAACCCCUUUCAGCAGGGACGAAGCGAAAGUGACGGUACCUGCAGAAGAAGCGCCGGCUAACUACGUGCCAGCAGCCGC